RNAcentral lists this ribosomal RNA (237 nucleotides) under uncultured bacterium. RNAcentral's name for it is "partial 16S ribosomal RNA". It matches the Rfam family "Bacterial small subunit ribosomal RNA", at positions 118 to 347 of the family's 1533-position model. The record is from RNAcentral.
UGAGCAAUCUGCCCUUCUCUUUGGAAUAAGCGUGGGAAACCGCGUCUAAUGCCGAAUACGACCUCCUUUCGCAUGAUCGGAGGUGGAAAGCUCCGGCGGAGAAGGAUGAGCUCGCGGCCUAUCAGCCAGUUGGUGUGGGUAAUGGCCCACCAAGGCGACGACGGGUAGCCGGCCUGAGAGGGUGACCCGGCCACACUGGGACUGAGACACGGCCCAGACCUCCGUACGGGAGNAGCG